UAGGGAAUCUUCCGCAAUGGGCGAAAGCCUGACGGAGCAACGCCGCGUGAGUGAUGAAGGUCUUCGGAUCGUAAAACUCUGUUAUUAGGGAAGAACAAAUGUGUAAGUAACUAUGCCCGUCUUGACGGUACCUAAUCAGAAAGCCACGGCUAACUACGUGCCAGCAGCCGCGGUAAUACGUAGGUGGCAAGCGUUAUCCGGAAUUAUUGGGCGUAAAGCGCGCGUAGGCGGUUUUUUAAGUCUGAUGUGAAAGCCCACGGCUCAACCGUGGAGGGUCAUUGGAAACUGGAAAACUUGAGUGCAGAAGAGGAAAGUGGAAUUCCAUGUGUAGCGGUGAAAUGCGCAGAGAUAUGGAGGAACACCAGUGGCGAAGGCGACUUUCUGGUCUGUAACUGACGCUGAUGUGCGAAAGCGUGGGGAUCAAACAGG
This 429-nucleotide ribosomal RNA is filed under the name Actinomycetes bacterium. Its description in RNAcentral is "Actinobacteria bacterium partial 16S ribosomal RNA". It matches the Rfam family "Bacterial small subunit ribosomal RNA", at positions 355 to 776 of the family's 1533-position model. The record is from RNAcentral. Lineage: Bacteria; Bacillati; Actinomycetota; Actinomycetes.